Molecule: long non-coding RNA, 351 nt
Organism: Ostrea edulis (European flat oyster)
Lineage: Eukaryota; Metazoa; Mollusca; Bivalvia; Ostreida; Ostreidae
Exons: 2
Source: RefSeq, a predicted model, not a curated record
GCUUAUUAAUAACUCACUCACUAUAUGUGCACGCUCUUCAUUCUGACGCCGCCCUUCACACAGUUCACUGGGUGUUCGAAUAGAGUUCGGGGUAACACAUUUUUAAUAUUGAAUACCUCUUUGUUCCGGUGAGACGGGUUUAAUUGGGUGUGGCACUGCCAUACAAUUGGGGUAUGUUAUUGAUGUAUUUGUGUUUAUUUUUUCCAUAAUAUUCAUGACAAUGUCUUUGUUGACUGAGUAUUUGAUAUGUUGUAUAUUUUUGGAAAGAAACAAUAUUUAUUGUGUUUUAUUUCUUUUCCUUGUAAUAGCUCAUUGCCAAUUUGUAUAUAUAAUAAAAAUAGUGACAUUGAA